Labrus mixtus (cuckoo wrasse) is the source of this 641-nucleotide long non-coding RNA. RefSeq lists it as uncharacterized. Lineage: Eukaryota; Metazoa; Chordata; Actinopteri; Labriformes; Labridae. The transcript is spliced from 2 exons. The record is from RefSeq and is a predicted model, not a curated record.
CUUUUCAAACAGUCCCCCUGUGGUCUAAAUGAAACAUCUGUGCUGUGCUUUGAUCAAAAUAUAACAUGAAUCAAGCACCAGAGGAGGUUUGUGACCCUGUAUAAACCAGCUCUCUCAGAACGCUCCGUUUGGUGUGUUGUGUCAAGUUUAGAGCGUGACAAUAGAAAGAUUAAAACACAAACGUGUCGACCACACCACACAUGUUUAACCAAUUUAUUCAUGAACAUACACGUACAGUUAUUGAGUACAUUAGUAUUUUUGUAGCAUAGCACUUUGCCUUGACAACAGCUGCUCAGAAGGACCCUACAGAAACCCUCUAGUCCUUUUUUUUUUCUUUUUUUAAAUUUUAAAUCCGAUGAACAUGAUGUGAAUACUCCCUGCAGAAUGAGAAGUACCCUGCUCUCCACUGUGGACCGCCGACACAGGGCCUUUUUCACGACUUCAAACAAAAAAGGCCUUGAAGGAUGGACAGGGAGGGAGGAGGGCAGGCUACGGUUCCUUCUCGGUCUCCCUCCUGGCGUUAAGUAUUGCUCUGACAUGCCUCUCUGUGGCCUUCUGGGUAACACAGAAAGGGGGCGGGGGGGUAUGGUGGGUGAGGGAGAGUGGUGGUUCAUUGGCCUAAUAAUAGCCUUAUCACACAU